This is a long non-coding RNA of Toxorhynchites rutilus septentrionalis, 1176 nucleotides long. RefSeq lists it as uncharacterized. The transcript has 3 exons. Lineage: Eukaryota; Metazoa; Arthropoda; Insecta; Diptera; Culicidae. The record is from RefSeq and is a predicted model, not a curated record.
UGGAAAUAUAAAAAAAAUAUUUUUUUGUACCACGCAAUACUGAAAAAAAAAUCUGAAAAAAAUCACACAUAUCUAGAAAAGUUGUAAGAACACAUUUAAAUAUGAAUUAGAGUAGUACAGAAUCUCUAAAUCCUAAAAAAAAAUUUUUCAGAAUUUCAAUUUUUUUUAUUACUUCAAUUUUUGAUAAAAAAUUUUUUUGAUAAUUUUUCUUGAUACACCGUAGUAAGAUGCACAUUCAGUAUUUUUUCAAAUUUUUAUCUCGAAGCUUUUGAGGAUGGCGUGAAAUAAACGAAAAAGUACGUUUUUCACCAUAGACCCUAUGUUGAACCACGUAGGGGCUCAAAAAAAAAAACGCCAAAAUUUAUUAUUCUAUAUCCUAUUCAACAUUUGCCAUACAGCUGGUGAUUUGAUUUGGGGGCACUGUUUACUCCCUUACCCGGCCAGGCCCUUUGCUUUUACUGGUACAGAUACUUUACCAAAACUACUGCCAUUUCGUUGUAUGAUUUGAACAUUGAAGACAAUUCAAACUCUGGCUGUCCAUAUUGGAUAUUUCAUUGUGUGAAAGAAAUCUACGAAUUUUCAUGUGAACUUUAACACCUUAUUUAGUAUAGUUAAAAUGAUCCGAGUUCGAUCAAACAGAAACCCUCGUGUUUGUUGGUAAUUUUGUUCACCAGCAAUAUCCCAUACCAUAGACAGGAACAGGUGGUAAUUACUAGGUGUAAGGUCAGGUAAGAUAAAUGCAGAAGCCAAGCUCCCGAUGCUUCUGGAUAGUCACGUUUCUGAAUACAAUCAGAUUAAGAACAAGCUUCGAAAUCGAAGAUAAAUGCAUUUCCAAGAUCAAAAGAUUUGAUUGAACAUCGCUGAGGUAGAUCGAAAAUUUUAAGGAAUGUUAGUACGCAAUCUAAAUUUGGAAAGACUCUAAAUGAGCAUCAUAAAAAGCACGAGUGAUUUGAGGCUUGCAAAUAUGGUAUUUGUAGCAAGUGAAUGAAAAAUGAAGCUAAUUUUUCUCUACAACGAACAUUUUCGAUGGUACAGCUUUUCGGAAGGAAAAGUACAGAUGAAAAAGAUUUCCACCCCUUCCGGUACAGAUGAAAAUGUGGCAACACUGGUUCCUUUCCUGCCUGGGCCCGGAAAUAAUAAAUAUCUACGAGAGCUUUGAGCAGAACAGGCAGUAGU